Molecule: unclassified non-coding RNA, 411 nt
Filed under: Hevea brasiliensis (rubber tree)
Lineage: Eukaryota; Viridiplantae; Streptophyta; Magnoliopsida; Malpighiales; Euphorbiaceae
Source: RNAcentral
GAAGAAAAGGCUAGAGAGAAAGAGUUGAAAAAACUCAAGGCUGCACAAAAAGCCGAAGCAGCAAAACAGGCACAAGCCAGCUCCACUGUGUCAAAGACUGCUAAGAAGAAGAGCUCAAAAAGGGAUGGUGGAGAGGAGAACCCUGAGGAUUUUGUUGAUCCAGAAACACGUCUGGGGGAGAAGAAGAAACUCUCCCGAGAAAUGGCAAAGACUUUUAAUCCCAGUGCUGUAGAGAAAUCGUGGUAUGCGUGGUGGGAAAAGUCCAAUUUCUUUGUUGCAGACCCAAACAGCGCUAAACCACCUUUUGUGAUUGUCUUGCCCCCACCAAAUGUGACUGGUGCUCUCCAUAUAGGACAUGCACUUACUGCUGCCAUCGAGGAUACUAUUAUUCGUUGGCGGAGAAUGUCUGGA